Molecule: ribosomal RNA, 600 nt
Filed under: Flavobacteriaceae bacterium 47V
Lineage: Bacteria; Pseudomonadati; Bacteroidota; Flavobacteriia; Flavobacteriales; Flavobacteriaceae
Description: bacterial SSU rRNA
Rfam family: Bacterial small subunit ribosomal RNA
Source: RNAcentral
AGACCGGCGCACGGGUGCGUAACGCGUAUGCAAUCUACCUUGUACAAAGGGAUAGCCCAGAGAAAUUUGGAUUAAUACCUUAUAGUAUGUAGAAGUGGCAUCACUUUUAUAUUAAAGAUUUAUCGGUACAAGAUGAGCAUGCGUCCCAUUAGCUAGUUGGUAUGGUAACGGCAUACCAAGGCAACGAUGGGUAGGGGUCCUGAGAGGGAGAUCCCCCACACUGGUACUGAGACACGGACCAGACUCCUACGGGAGGCAGCAGUGAGGAAUAUUGGUCAAUGGGCGCAAGCCUGAACCAGCCAUGCCGCGUGCAGGAUGACGGUCCUAUGGAUUGUAAACUGCUUUUAUACAGGAAGAAACCCUACCACGUGUGGUAGAUUGACGGUACUGUAAGAAUAAGGAUCGGCUAACUCCGUGCCAGCAGCCGCGGUAAUACGGAGGAUCCAAGCGUUAUCCGGAAUCAUUGGGUUUAAAGGGUCCGUAGGCGGUUUUAUAAGUCAGUGGUGAAAUCCGGCAGCUCAACUGUCGAACUGCCAUUGAUACUGUAGAACUUGAAUUAUUAUGAAGUAACUAGAAUAUGUAGUGUAGCGGUGAAAUGCU